UACGAAGGGGGCUAGCGUUGCUCGGAAUUACUGGGCGUAAAGGGCUCGUAGGUGGCCAACUAAGUCAGACGUGAAAUCCCUCAGCUUAACUGGGGAACUGCGUCUGAUACUGGAUGGCUUGAGUUUGGGAGAGGGAUGCGGAAUUCCAGGUGUAGCGGUGAAAUGCGUAGAUAUCUGGAGGAACACCGGUGGCGAAGGCGGCAUCCUGGACCAACACUGACACUGAGGAGCGAAAGCCAGGGGAGCAAACGGG
RNAcentral lists this ribosomal RNA (253 nucleotides) under uncultured bacterium. Its description in RNAcentral is "partial 16S ribosomal RNA". It matches the Rfam family "Bacterial small subunit ribosomal RNA", at positions 524 to 776 of the family's 1533-position model. The record is from RNAcentral.